AUGUGCAGUAAAUUCAAGAACAAUAUAUACGAUUAAUAAUGAUUUUUGCCUAAGUGGUGGGAUUGUAGGGGUUUUAAUUUUCUUUGGACUUUUUGGUACUUUCAAAAUUAUCUGUGAUGUACAUAUAACACUUAGAAAUGCAAUAAAAAUUCCAAUAACGUCCUAGAUACAGUUAGUACUUUAACUUCUAGAAAGGAGGUAAUAAUAGUAAGACAAUUCUGCAGUCACUGAACUAGACUGAACCAAUCUUCACCCAGAAAGAAAGCAGGAGCAAGAUUGCCUAUCCGUUAAAUACAUGAGUUUGCAUUAUAACAAUGGGAAGUUUGGCAGAGAAAAAAAUUGAAAAUUUCAUGAAAAAAGCAAGGUUUCCAACUUCCGUUCUAAAUUACUCAUAUAUGAUAUUUGGGGAACAUAAUUGAGCAGGAUUUCUUUAAGCUAAAACGUGUGUUAUCAGAGGGAAAUUCUCACUAAUGUCUCUUCCUUCCUCAGCGCUUUUCACCAAAUCCAACGAGAAUAUUCUUUCUGCUUGGAUGGAACGAGGCUACUAUCUGCGUGAACCUGCUCUUCCUCAGUCAGUCGCAUUGCUCAGCGAGUCCCGUUCCUGUUAAAACAACACCUUAGUGAUGACACUUAAGGAGAAGCUGUGUCAUAGGAGGGAAAGUAACACCCACUGGAGAGUCCAGCAUGUGAGAGAAUUUGGAAAAGCCUGAGUUCAAGAAUUCUGAGCGGUCUACUACGUAAAAGACGCUUAGACAAACUAGAUAAACUCACCCUAUUAGAGGAAGUCCAGACUGACAUGAAGGUAAAAAUAUUUGAUACAGUCCAUUAGAGCUCAAUCUGAAUUUUAUCAAAGGAAACUGUAGUACAUUUUUAAAGGCCUGUCUCAAUUUUUAAUUAGUUUCUUGUUAAAAUGAACUUUCUCUUAGUUUACUGGAGUGGGGGAGGGCCGCCUUAGACGUUGACCAGCCCCCCCCACCACCCCCACCCCCGUCAAGGACAAACCAGGGACCUUGUGUCUCCAGAUUAGGGGAAAUAGUUAAGAAGGAGAGGAAAAGAAAAUUGCUUUUCCAGCUUCUCUAACUUCCCAUGUAACCUGCAGAGAAAAGCAAGCAUCCCUUGGGAGGAAAUAACAAAAGUGCCAAACAGUAGAUGGAUGGAUGAAGCUUGCAUCCCUGCAGUGUAGUGGGGCUCUUGCCUUUACAAUGUCACGUAAACUCCUGUCCCUUGCUCACAGUGGUUAACAGAUUGCCGAGUGGACAUUUAUUACCAACUGGCCCUGCCCUCCUGGAGGCCUCUACCCUUGAAGCUGCUCCUUCGCUCAGUUCCUUUUCCUGCCAGAAAUAUCAAAGUCAGAGAAGGGGGUCUGAAAGUUCAGUUGCCUGUUUCCUUUUCCUACUGUACACAAGGUAGCUGGUUAGACCACAAGUUGCGUCCAUAAGAAACCUUAAGAGAUAACUCAUUGUAACCCAUGUCAGGUAAUAAGAGACAAACAAGCCUCUUCUUACAAAACAACUCACCACUGUAUUAUCUCUAAGGUACUCCCACCUCAGCCACCCCUCCCCCGUAAAAUAAACAUUCAAAGUUUCUGUGGUUCAGUAUCUUUUCUUUGAGCAUAGAUGGGAUUUCUAAUACAGGUUUGCCUUAUCACGUACUCUGUUUUGUCAGACUUUUGAUUCCUAAGAUACUUUAUGACCUCACUGCACCGCCAUUCCCCUUUGUCAACAAUAACCUCAACAGGCAUGGCAAA
Molecule: long non-coding RNA, 1747 nt
Organism: Hipposideros armiger (great roundleaf bat)
Lineage: Eukaryota; Metazoa; Chordata; Mammalia; Chiroptera; Hipposideridae
Exons: 3
Source: RefSeq, a predicted model, not a curated record